CAGCCGCCGCGGUAAUACCAGCAGCCCAAGUGGUGGUCGCGAUUAUUGGGCCUAAAGCGCUCGUAGCCGGGCCGGUAAGUCCCUUGUGAAAUCGGACGGCCUAACCGUUCGGCGUGCAAGGGAUACUGUCGGUCUUGAUGCCGGGAGACGUCCGAGGUACUCCGGGGGUAGCGGUGAAAUGUUCUGAUCCUCGGGGGACCACCGGUGGCGAAGGCGUUCGACGAGAACGGGCCUGACGGUGAGGGGCGAAGGCUAGGGGAGCAAACGGGAUUAGAUACCCCCGUAGUCCCUGUCUCUUAUA
This 301-nucleotide ribosomal RNA is filed under the name uncultured bacterium. RNAcentral describes it as "partial 16S ribosomal RNA". It matches the Rfam family "Archaeal small subunit ribosomal RNA", at positions 459 to 759 of the family's 1478-position model. The record is from RNAcentral.